GCCACACUCUGUAAUCCAUCAACACCCAUAACCUCCGAAUUGUUUGGGGACGAUAUCAGUAAAGAAAUUGAUCAAGUGGCCAAAGCUAACCAACUUGGUAAUAAGCUUUCCAGUUUGCGCAGAGGCCGUGGGCAACGAUAUCACCCAUAUGCAGGAUCACCAUCGCCACACUACAGCGGUACUGGGCCCAUGAGAGGUCAGGACAACAGAGCUCCCGUUCCUCGAAGUUUUCCAUCUUUUUUCGGAGGCAGAGGCUCCUAUCGACGCCGACUAGGAGCCAAAAUGGGUGCAACACAGACAAAACCCAGUCGCAACUAAUCACUCCUCACCAGGUUAGUUACAGGGAACAUAUAGAUAAAUUAGUUAAUAACCAACCACGUUUUGUUGGGGGACAGUUGAAGUUUCACGUAAAACAAUGGCAGGACAUUACAUCCGACCCUUUUGUUUUGCGUUGUGUUAGCAAUUGUGCAAUUGAAUUUGAUUAUGAACCUAUGCCAGCGAGACAUAUGUCAAAUCCAGAAUAUAAGUUUUCAUCCGCUGAGCAACAGGCCAUUGAUAACG
Paramuricea clavata is the source of this 561-nucleotide non-coding RNA. Lineage: Eukaryota; Metazoa; Cnidaria; Anthozoa; Malacalcyonacea; Plexauridae. The record is from the annotation of a GenBank genome assembly.